ACGUAGGGGGCAAGCGUUAUCCGGAUUUACUGGGUGUAAAGGGAGCGUAGACGGCAAGGCAAGUCUGAUGUGAAAACCCAGGGCUUAACCCUGGGACUGCAUUGGAAACUGUCUGGCUUGAGUGCCGGAGAGGUAAGCGGAAUUCCUAGUGUAGCGGUGAAAUGCGUAGAUAUUAGGAAGAACACCAGUGGCGAAGGCGGCUUACUGGACGGUAACUGACGUUGAGGCUCGAAAGCGUGGGGAGCAAACAG
RNAcentral lists this ribosomal RNA (251 nucleotides) under uncultured bacterium. RNAcentral describes it as "partial 16S ribosomal RNA". It matches the Rfam family "Bacterial small subunit ribosomal RNA", at positions 525 to 775 of the family's 1533-position model. The record is from RNAcentral.